UUAAGAAUAAGCUAAAUUAAGCUUUUGGGCUCAUACCUCAAAUAUAAAGAUCUUUCUUUUUCUU
Molecule: transfer RNA, 64 nt
Filed under: Prioneris thestylis
Lineage: Eukaryota; Metazoa; Arthropoda; Insecta; Lepidoptera; Pieridae
Description: tRNA-Met
Source: RNAcentral